AACAACAGAAAAUGUGUGACAAAAAUGCCAGAAUUAUUAUAGUCUCCCUUUAGUUCCUGAAUAUCAUUAAGAAAAGAAAAUUAAUCUGCUACUCUUAGAAGAGUUCCAGGGCUAUGAAUAACUAUUCUAUGAAAAAAUAAUAUCACAGUGAAUUUACUUCAUUUCCCUAAAACAUCUAAGUAUAUAGUUCUUAUUACUUGGGCAAGGUGCUGAUAACCGUGGCAUCCUACACAUGUCAGAGUCUGUACCACAGAUGAAGAACAUGAAAAUAUGAAAUAUUUUUGCUUAGAUGAGUGCUGCUCCCCUUCACCCUAAAGAAAGGGAGAAAAAUCUUCCCUCCAAAAGAAGAAUCUUGAGUUCUUACUUUAAUUUAGAGUGUAAAUAAGUAUAUCCAUAGGAAAGGUAAAUCCCAGGACUCAUACCUCUCCUUGAAAUUUAAAAUAUAGCUCUGAAGAGGUGAAUCUACAUGGAGUU
RNAcentral lists this long non-coding RNA (474 nucleotides) under Homo sapiens (human). RNAcentral describes it as "non-protein coding LINC01075:5". Lineage: Eukaryota; Metazoa; Chordata; Mammalia; Primates; Hominidae. The record is from RNAcentral.